UACACUCCUGCGGGAGGCAGCAGUGGGGAAUAUUGCACAAUGGGCGCAAGCCUGAUGCAGCCAUGCCGCGUGUAUGAAGAAGGCCUUCGGGUUGUAAAGUACUUUCAGCGGGGAGGAAGGCGAUAAGGUUAAUAACCUUGUCGAUUGACGUUACCCGCAGAAGAAGCACCGGCUAACUCCGUGCCAGCAGCCGCGGUAAUACGGAGGGUGCAAGCGUUAAUCGGAAUUACUGGGCGUAAAGCGCACGCAGGCGGUCUGUCAAGUCGGAUGUGAAAUCCCCGGGCUCAACCUGGGAACUGCAUUCGAAACUGGCAGGCUAGAGUCUUGUAGAGGGGGGUAGAAUUCCAGGUGUAGCGGUGAAAUGCGUAGAGAUCUGGAGGAAUACCGGUGGCGAAGGCGGCCCCCUGGACAAAGACUGACGCUCAGGUGCGAAAGCGUGGGGAGCAAACAGGAUUAGAAACCCCUGUAGUCCCAUG
RNAcentral lists this ribosomal RNA (476 nucleotides) under uncultured organism. RNAcentral describes it as "partial 16S ribosomal RNA". It matches the Rfam family "Bacterial small subunit ribosomal RNA", at positions 332 to 799 of the family's 1533-position model. The record is from RNAcentral.